AACGAACGCUGGCGGCAGGCCUAACACAUGCAAGUCGAGCGGCAGCGGGAAAGUAGCUUGCUACUUUUGCCGGCGAGCGGCGGACGGGUGAGUAAUGCCUGGGAAAUUGCCCAGUCGAGGGGGAUAACAGUUGGAAACGACUGCUAAUACCGCAUACGCCCUACGGGGGAAAGCAGGGGACCUUCGGGCCUUGCGCGAUUGGAUAUGCCCAGGUGGGAUUAGCUAGUUGGUGAGGUAAUGGCUCAACAAGGCGACGAUCCCUACCUGGUCUGAGAGGAUGAUAAGCCACACUGGAACUGAGACACGGUCCAGACUCAUACGGGAGGCAGCAGUGGGGAAUAUUGCACAAUGGGGGAAACCCUGAUGCAGCCAUGCCGCGUGUGUGAAGAAGGCAUUCGGGUUGUAAAGCACUUUCAGCGAGGAGGAAAGGUUGAUGCCUAAUACGUAUCAACUGUGACGUUACUCGCAGAAGAAGCACCGGCUAACUCCGUGCCAGCCGCCGCCGUAA
Molecule: ribosomal RNA, 508 nt
Filed under: uncultured bacterium
Lineage: Bacteria
Description: partial 16S ribosomal RNA
Rfam family: Bacterial small subunit ribosomal RNA
Source: RNAcentral